This is a non-coding RNA of Thamnophis elegans (Western terrestrial garter snake), 389 nucleotides long. The record is from the annotation of a RefSeq genome assembly. Lineage: Eukaryota; Metazoa; Chordata; Lepidosauria; Squamata; Natricidae.
UCAAUUUCAUCUAUUCAUUACAGGGAGCAAAAAUGUGGCUAAACCUUCUGUCCAUACUUGUAGUCCUCAAAGGAGUCCAAUCUCAGGUCCAAUUGGUGGAGUCUGGAGGGGAUGAGAGAAGACCUGGGGAGUCCCUCCGUCUCUCCUGCCAAGCCUCUGGAUUCACCUUCAGCAGCUUCUACAUGCACUGGGUGAGGCAGGCUCCAGGGAAAGGACUGGAAUGGGUGUCAUGGAUAAGCGAUGGUUCUGGUACUAUUAGAUACUCAGACAAAGUCAAGGGCCGUUUCACCAUCUCCAGGGACGAUGCCAAAAGCCAGCUGUAUCUGCAAAUGAACAGCCUCAAAACUGAAGACACAGGAGUCUAUUACUGUGCAAGAGACACUGUGAGA